CCUACGGGUGGCUGCAGUGGGGAAUAUUGCACAAUGGGGGAAACCUGGAUGCGGGAACGCGGCGGGAAGGAAGAAGGCCUCGGGUCGGUAACUUUCUAUAAGCGGGAAGGAAGGAGGUGAGGUAACCUGCCAAGAAGCCCCCGCUAACUACGGUGCAGGAGCCGCGGGAAUACGGAGGGGGGAAGGGGUAAUCGGAAUCACUGGGUGUAAAGGGUGGGUAGGGGGUAGGGGAAGUCAGAUGGGAAAGCCCGGGGCUCAACUCCGGGAUUGCAUUUGAAACUGUCUUACUAGAGUGCAGGAGAGGAAGGCGGAAUUCCUAGUGUAGCGGUGAAAUGCGUAGAUAUUAGGAAGAACACCAGUGGCGAAGGCGGCUUUCUGGACUGUAACUGACGCUGAGGCACGAAAGCGUGGGGAGCGAACAGGAUUAGAUACCCCGGUAGUC
This 442-nucleotide ribosomal RNA is filed under the name uncultured bacterium. RNAcentral's name for it is "bacterial SSU rRNA". It matches the Rfam family "Bacterial small subunit ribosomal RNA", at positions 338 to 795 of the family's 1533-position model. The record is from RNAcentral.